GACGAACGCUGGCGGCGUGCUUAACACAUGCAAGUCGAACGGAAAGGCCCUGCUUUUGUGGGGUGCUCGAGUGGCGAACGGGUGAGUAACACGUGAGUAGCCUGCCCUUGACUUUGGGAUAACUUCAGGAAACAGGGGCUAAUACCGGAUAGGAGCUCCUGCUGCAUGGUGGGGGUUGGAAAGUUUCGGCGGUUGGGGAUGGACUCGCGGCUUAUCAGCUUGUUGGUGGGGUAGUGGCUUACCAAGGCUUUGACGGGUAGCCGGCCUGAGAGGGUGACCGGCCACAUUGGGACUGAGAUACGGCCCAGACUCCUACGGGAGGCAGCAGUGGGGAAUAUUGCACAAUGGGCGGAAGCCUGAUGCAGCAACGCCGCGUGCGGGAUGACGGCCUUCGGGUUGUAAACCGCUUUCGCCUGUGACGAAGCGUGAGUGACGGUAAUGGGUAAAGAAGCACCGGCUAACUACGUG
RNAcentral lists this ribosomal RNA (468 nucleotides) under uncultured bacterium. RNAcentral's name for it is "partial 16S ribosomal RNA". It matches the Rfam family "Bacterial small subunit ribosomal RNA", at positions 28 to 507 of the family's 1533-position model. The record is from RNAcentral.